UGGGGAAUAUUGCACAAUGGGCGAAAGCCUGAUGCAGCAACGCCGCGUGAGUGAUGAAGGUCUUCGGAUUGUAAAGCUCCGUCUUUUGGGACGAUAAUGACGGUACCAAAGGAGGAAGCCACGGCUAACUACGUGCCAGCAGCCGCGGUAAUACGUAGGUGGCGAGCGUUGUCCGGAUUUACUGGGCGUAAAGGGUGCGUAGGCGGAUGUUUAAGUGAGAUGUGAAAUACCCGGGCUUAACUUGGGUGCUGCAUUUCAAACUGGAUAUCUAGAGUGCAGGAGAGGAGAAUGGAAUUCCUAGUGUAGCGGUGAAAUGCGUAGAGAUUAGGAAGAACACCAGUGGCGAAGGCGAUUCUCUGGACUGUAACCGACGCUGAGGCACGAAAGCGUGGGUAGCAAACAGGAUUAGAUACCCUGGUAGUCCACGCCGUAAACGAUGAGUACUAGGUGUAGGAGGUAUCGACCCCUUCUGUGCCGCAGUAAACACAUUAAGUACUCCGC
This 501-nucleotide ribosomal RNA is filed under the name uncultured bacterium. RNAcentral describes it as "partial 16S ribosomal RNA". It matches the Rfam family "Bacterial small subunit ribosomal RNA", at positions 355 to 872 of the family's 1533-position model. The record is from RNAcentral.